This 502-nucleotide ribosomal RNA is filed under the name uncultured bacterium. Its description in RNAcentral is "bacterial SSU rRNA". It matches the Rfam family "Bacterial small subunit ribosomal RNA", at positions 59 to 554 of the family's 1533-position model. The record is from RNAcentral.
AAGUCGAGGGGUAACGGAAGUAGCUUGCUACUAGACGACGACCGGCGCACGGGUGAGCAACGCGUAUGUAAUCUGCCUUGUACAGAGGGAUAGCCCAGAGAAAUUUGGAUUAAUACCUCAUAGUAUUACUGGAUCGCAUGAUUUGGUAAUUAAAGCUCCGGCGGUACAAGAUGAACAUGCGUGACAUUAGCUAGUUGGUAAGGUAACGGCUUACCAAGGCUACGAUGUCUAGGGGUUCUGAGAGGAUGAUCCCCCACACUGGUACUGAGACACGGACCAGACUCCUACGGGAGGCAGCAGUGAGGAAUAUUGGUCAAUGGACGCAAGUCUGAACCAGCCAUCCCGCGUGAAGGAUGACUGCCCUAUGGGUUGUAAACUUCUUUUAUAUGCAAAUAAACCUACUUUCGUGAAAGUAGCUGAAGGUAGCAUAUGAAUAAACACCGGCUAACUCCGUGCCAGCAGCCGCGGUAAUACGGAGGGUGUAAGCGUUAUCCGGAUUUAU